RNAcentral lists this transfer RNA (76 nucleotides) under Trichonephila inaurata madagascariensis. Its description in RNAcentral is "tRNA-Arg". It matches the Rfam family "tRNA". From Rfam's summary of the family: Transfer RNA (tRNA) molecules are approximately 80 nucleotides in length. Lineage: Eukaryota; Metazoa; Arthropoda; Arachnida; Araneae; Nephilidae. The record is from RNAcentral.
ACCCCUGCUGUAGGGCAAUGGAUAGCGCGUUGGACUUCUAAUCCAAAGAUCGUGGAUUCAAUUUCCACCUGGGAUG